This 78-nucleotide microRNA precursor is filed under the name Schistosoma mansoni. Its description in RNAcentral is "microRNA sma-mir-8420 precursor". Lineage: Eukaryota; Metazoa; Platyhelminthes; Trematoda; Strigeidida; Schistosomatidae. The record is from miRBase by way of RNAcentral.
AAACUGGGGAACAUGGUAUAAUUGUUCUAUAAAUGGUCUUGUAUGGUUGAGGAUAGGAAGAUGCCUAUUCCCCCCCCC